RNAcentral lists this ribosomal RNA (272 nucleotides) under uncultured prokaryote. Its description in RNAcentral is "partial 16S ribosomal RNA". It matches the Rfam family "Bacterial small subunit ribosomal RNA", at positions 524 to 796 of the family's 1533-position model. The record is from RNAcentral.
UACGUAGGUGGCAAGCGUUGUCCGGAUUUACUGGGCGUAAAGAGCGCGCAGGCGGUCGUUCAAGUCGCGUGUGAAAGCCCCCGGCUCAACUGGGGAGGGUCACGCGAUACUGAUCGACUCGAAGGCAGGAGAGGGUAGUGGAAUUCCCGGUGUAGUGGUGAAAUGCGUAGAUAUCGGGAGGAACACCAGUGGCGAAGGCGACUACCUGGCCUGUUCUUGACGCUGAGGCGCGAAAGCUAGGGGAGCAAACGGGAUUAGAACCCGUGUAGUCC